This 1263-nucleotide long non-coding RNA is filed under the name Pan troglodytes (chimpanzee). RNAcentral's name for it is "lncRNA (ENSPTRG00000053171.1)". Lineage: Eukaryota; Metazoa; Chordata; Mammalia; Primates; Hominidae. The record is from RNAcentral.
CUGCAGAAGAAGAAAUCCAGAUCUUUAGAGAUAGCUGUUUGGUGUAUUUUGAGUUAUGAAUGAUAUGUCCCAUAUGAAGAUUUAAAGAAUGCUACCUUUAAAUGUCUUUUUAAAUGUCUAGAAAAUGUGCUGAUAAGGAGGGCUUCAACAUCCUUACAAAGUUCUUUGGUGUCUGUUCUUCAUAGGCCUGGGAUGAUGAUGGCAGUGGCUGUCAUUGACCUUCAGCUUUCUUAUUUCAAUGGAUUUAAUUCUAAUCCUGAGGUGGCAGAUGCAGUGACUGGGUGGACAUAGGAUGAGACUGACAAUUACAGCAUUUUUAUCUUCAGGGAUAAUUAUUAACAGCUUUUGAAGUCCACCAUUUCUCCGCAUCUGAAAAUCAAAGUACUUUUUCUGUUACAUUUUAAUCUGACAUGAAUGAGCAACUUCCUGCUGUUUUAGGACAGGUCCUCAAUAGUACUUUUAAAGCCUUAGGAGCUUUCAAUAUCAUCAGCAUUCUCAUCAUUUUGGGAGACAAAUUGAUAUCUCCCUUAGAAAUGACCAAAUUGAGUGCCAUCUGUUACAAUGAAGGGCUACUUCAAGGAGAACUUUCAUUGAAUGCUCUGCCCUCAAAAACCAUCACUGACAUGCAGCAGAAUUUUUUUUUGGCAAAUUAUAUAAGCAGAAAGUGAUUGUAAAUCAAACUAGAAGAAAGUAUAACAGAUAUUCCUGGAAACCGAAGAAUAUUUUAAUCAUCAAAUAAUGAAACAGAGGCAUCUAGAGUAAAGCCCUCUCGGAAAUAAUUAAUAGCACGUGGGCAAUGAUUUUUUAAAUGCUUUUUUAUUUAUUUCAUUGACAUUAGUUCUUAUAUUUGACAUCUUCUGUGUGACUAAUUCUACAGUAGAUUAUCAUCCUUUAAAAUGCAAAUAAUUUUUAAGUAAGCUAACGGUAUAAUAAGAUGUACACUAACAAUCCUUAAUUAAUAAACAUAAUCUUAAAAGUUUCAUUUAAACUUGUUAAACAUUUAAAAUAAACACUGUCUAGCACCUUUUCCUGCUACAUAUGGAGAAUCCUAUACGUAACUUUACUUUUAAAAAUUAUUUAUAUCUGAAAGAGAAAAGUAGUAUACUAAUCAGUUUUUCUAGUAAGUAUAUAUGAACUACUUUCAAAGAAAUAAACAAGAACAGAGUUCUAUAAGCACACUAUAGAUCCUGCUUCUUCAAAACUUACUCUGUAGGAUCUUAAUGUUAGUAGUAUUUGACUAGCUAUGACGUGUGGGUAUAUACC